UUUGAGGGGAAUGUUGUCUGGCUCGAGGACUCUCUUUUGAUGCUUUUACAUACAGAUCUAAGCAUAUUGAUCAACUGCUAGUGUCGUCGGACCAGGCUUCAUUCCCCCCAAU
RNAcentral lists this microRNA precursor (112 nucleotides) under Manihot esculenta (cassava). RNAcentral describes it as "mir-166 microRNA precursor family". It matches the Rfam family "mir-166 microRNA precursor family". Rfam says of the family: This family represents the plant microRNA (miRNA) precursor mir-166. Animal miRNAs are transcribed as ~70nt precursors and subsequently processed by the Dicer enzyme to give a ~22nt product. The record is from Rfam by way of RNAcentral. Lineage: Eukaryota; Viridiplantae; Streptophyta; Magnoliopsida; Malpighiales; Euphorbiaceae.